This 166-nucleotide unclassified non-coding RNA is filed under the name soil metagenome. RNAcentral describes it as "partial internal transcribed spacer 1". The record is from RNAcentral.
CAGAGUUGCAAAACUCCCCAAACCAUUGUGAACCUUACCUUCAACCGUUGCUUCGGCGGGCGGGCCACAGCGCCCCCCGGGCCCCCCCAGCGGGGGCGCCCGCCGGAGGAUACCCAAACUCUUGAUACUUUAUGGCCUCUCUGAGUCUUCUGUACUGAAUAAGUCA